Lepus europaeus (European hare) is the source of this 376-nucleotide long non-coding RNA. RefSeq lists it as uncharacterized. NCBI's taxonomy places the organism in Eukaryota, Metazoa, Chordata, Mammalia, Lagomorpha, Leporidae. The transcript is spliced from 3 exons. The record is from RefSeq and is a predicted model, not a curated record.
ACUGGUCUUUAGAAACUACUUAAACUUGUGCAGCUUUGGUGUAAUGUCAAAGCUGUCCAUCCAUAAUUAUUUGAGGAAGGCUAUAAAAUACACUCUUUUCCAGCUUUAGUGUUGAUAUGAUACCAGGUUAUUUUCAUAUGUUUUAACCAGAGCAAUUUUUUUUUUUUUUUUGCAACAGAUUGAAUGUAGGAGCAGAGAGGCCAUCAUUGUUUUAGCCUGAUUUAAAAAGCUGUGCAAAAUUGCAAAACGUUUUCAAUGCAAUAAAUAUUGGCAGCCAUAAUCCAUGGUGAAUGGAUUUUUUCAGCAGUGACACAAGUUGCUCAAGUAGCUCCUGGUGGGUUUUUGAACACAGGCUGGAGGGAAGGACACACAUGCC